GAUGAACGCUGGCGGCGUGCCUAACACAUGCAAGUCGAGCGGCAGCGCGAGUAGUUUACUACUUGGCGGCGAGCGGCGGACGGCUGAGUAACGCGUGGGAAUUUGCCCCAAAGUGAGGAAUAACUGCCCGAAAGGGUGGCUAAUGCCGCAUAUGAUCUUCGGAUUAAAGGAUUUAUCCGCUUUGGGAGAAGCCCGCGUCGGAUUAGGUAGUUGGUGAGGUAAUGGCUCACCAAGCCGACGAUCCGUAGCUGGUCUGAGAGGAUGACCAGCCAGACUGGAACUGAGACACGGUCCAGACUCCUACGGGAGGCAGCAGUGAGGAAUCUUCCACAAUGGGCGAAAGCCUGAUGGAGCAACGCCGCGUGCAGGAUGAAGGCCUUCGGGUUGUAAACUGCUUUUAU
Molecule: ribosomal RNA, 401 nt
Filed under: TM7 phylum sp. oral taxon 346
Lineage: Bacteria; Candidatus Saccharimonadota
Description: bacterial SSU rRNA
Rfam family: Bacterial small subunit ribosomal RNA
Source: RNAcentral